Molecule: non-coding RNA, 695 nt
Organism: Schizosaccharomyces pombe (fission yeast)
Lineage: Eukaryota; Fungi; Ascomycota; Schizosaccharomycetes; Schizosaccharomycetales; Schizosaccharomycetaceae
Source: the annotation of a GenBank genome assembly
AUGCUUGCCUCAACGAAGUAUCGCUACCGUUCUCUUUCGUUUUACUAACAAGUUCAAUUUGUUUCUUGUUUUUGUAUUAGUCGAUUUUUAAUAUGCACAGGCUUGCAUAAAGAUAGUUAAUUAUAAAUUUCAUUUGUUUGAUUUUAAGCUUAGCAUUUCAUUCAGCUCGACUUCAAGCUGACAAUCCCCAAUGCAAAUAUCCUUGCGUCUCGUUAGGCAGGUUACAUUUCCAAUAGUUUGAACGUAGCUUCCGCGUUAUUAUACUUUGCCAGUUUUAGUGCAUUGUAUAGCUACACAGUAUUUUGGUUUUAAACUUAGCGAGAUAUCUCAAAACCCCUUGGCAUGCUCUUAGCACGGUACUUAGCUGUAGAUCCUUUUAAAAUUUGCUAACAGAUGUAAACUUGAAAACCAGAUUUUUCGGCUUAAUAUAUUCCAUCUAUCAUUUAAAUCUCUUUGAUGAUAACUUUCAAAAAUUGAAGGAAAUCCGAUGUUGACGAUGAAAUCACUGUAGAUACGAAUGUUUACUCAACGAAAUUACCAUACAAUUUGAUGCCGAUCAUUUUAAAGACAUUUUUAGCAAAAUAUAAGCAGUCAAACUAGUAGAAAUUUUUACAAAAAAAAGCCAUAUACGAGGUUUGUUUAGUACAAAUGACUAUACGAUCGCAAUAAUAUAGUAAUCAAAUGAGCCACAGGAG